GGGAGGACAGGCCCGGCUCAGAGCCUGGAACUGCUUGUGAUGGAGGACGGCAUCCACUGUGGGUCCUAGACCAAGGCUGACUGGGAAGUGGUGCAGGCGAGGCAUGCUGGGGGCGUGAACUCAGCAGAGGCCAUGCGGCAGGGACUCAGGAGGCAUUUGGGAAGAAGGACCUGCAGGGCCUGGACAUCAAAGUGAGGGAAAGGGAAGGUCCAGGCUGGCGCCCAGGUUUGGAGAGCAUUUGGGAUGGUGGUGCCCAGCUCUGAGCCGAGGACACAGGACACGGGAUGGAAGAGGGUGUGCUGAGUUUUGGGGGUGUUGCAUUUGAGCUAGCUCGGGGGGACACAGGACGGGAAGGGCUGUGGAGCUCAGGACGCAGCUGUGUCUAUAGGUCUGGAGGUCAGGAGAGAGAGGAGGAAGGUGGUUGGGAUAUGAGUGUCAUCUGUGGAUGUGUGGGUGAGAUGUCCUGUGGGUGGGACGUCAGCCAGGUUCCUGGAGGUGCUAACCCGUCCGCUGGUCACGAGGCUGGCCCGUGGCCUCCUGUACACGGCCCCAGAUGAAGACGCCUCCUUGCCCUGUCCAGCCUCUGGCUUCCAGCCUGCUUAACCCCUUGUAGGGCCUGAGAGCAAGACAGCACGGUGAGGCGUGCCAGCCCCAAGAGACACCUCAUACACAGAGGCUGCGGCCGGAAGGGGCCGAGGACAGGAUGGGCGACCCAGUCAUACAGCAACAUCUGGGGGCGGGCGGGUGAGUCCACCCACUGUGCAGGUGAGGAAAAGUUGCCCCGAGCUGGUGGGCAUGCUGUCCCACUUUGCAGAACCUCUGCCUGACUUCUGGGGAGACCAGAGAUUCAUGUCCAAUCAAGCAUCCUGGGAACGCCUCCAAUUUGCCAUGAAAUAGUUGUAAGUGUCAAGAAAAGCAGUUUCCAGGUUAAGGGAAGUCGAGGGGAAGACCCAUCCUUGGGUUUCUGGGUGGCAUCAGGCUAUAAGAAGCAGCUACCGUGGGUCUCUGCGGCCACAGGCCCCUGCCCGCUACCCGCCCGGACGGGCUCCCCUGGGGCCAGUGCUCAGUGCCAGCCUCUCUCCUGGGCCUCCAGGAGGACGCCUCCCUAAUUAGCUGCCAAGAG
Molecule: long non-coding RNA, 1123 nt
Filed under: Equus caballus (horse)
Lineage: Eukaryota; Metazoa; Chordata; Mammalia; Perissodactyla; Equidae
Description: lncRNA (ENSECAG00000047174.1)
Source: RNAcentral